This is a long non-coding RNA of Haliotis rubra (blacklip abalone), 631 nucleotides long. RefSeq lists it as uncharacterized. The record is from RefSeq and is a predicted model, not a curated record. The transcript is spliced from 2 exons. NCBI's taxonomy places the organism in Eukaryota, Metazoa, Mollusca, Gastropoda, Lepetellida, Haliotidae.
GUCAUUUGCAAUUACUUCCCCUGGAGAUUCAGGAUUAGAAUUGAUUCCAGUUAGACCCGAGCCCUUGUACAUAUCUAUUAUAUAUGUACUCAAGCUAAAUGAGAAGAAAGUGUAUUAAAUAUAUAAGAGCUCAUGACGGAUAAUGCCAUUUAAAUAUGUGUAGGAGAUCACAGGUAAAUUGUAUACAAUAUAUGUAUAUAUAUAUGUGUGUGUGUGUGUGUGUGUGUGUGUGUGUUAAGGCCAAAUUGAUUACGUAUUUCAUGAGCGCUUUAUCUAAAUUCCCACUCAGUUCAUGGGAGGUAACUCUAAUUCAGUUUUGCUUUGAAUGUAGUGUCACAUACGCACGCGGUUAUCGUGCAGUGUGGAAUGCAGGGUAGAAUGUGGAAGGACACGUGUGGAGGAAGAGGUGAUACAAAAUGUCACUCGUUCCUUUGCGUCUUGAAGGUAGUUGUUUGAACCAACGCGCAAGUUGUCAAGUCUGUGCCACAUGUAUUCAGAACAAGAUGUAAACCGAUUGAGAAUGAAUGCAGAAAUAAAACAAAAAAGGUGGAUUGACUUUAUUUUCACACGUCGUCUAUGAAUGUAGUCUACAAUAUAUAUAUAUAUAUAUAUAUAUAUACAUAUAUAUAUA